GUGAUAUGUGGCAAGCUAGGAGUGGAGAGUUUAGACGGUGGGUCAUUUUGAAGUGGGUGGGAGGUGAUAAGAUUGUUAGGAAAUGAAGGCAAGGGGCCACGUGUGGAAUUAGGUGAGAAGUUUAAUGGUUGAUGUGUCAUGGGUGGAGAGCAUGAUAAGGCAUUUGGUAUUCCAAGUGAAAAAGUGUGAGGGGUUGGAUAUGGAGAGGAGUUGGGGGCUUCUUUGCAACACGCAUUGGCAGUAGUGAGAAAGGUGAAGGGGUGAAUUCAUUGUCGAGAAAUCGGGGCGGUGGGAAAAUUCUAGAUGGAGGUGUUGGGCCAUGAUAGGGAUGAAGAAGAGAGACAUGGAAUACAGGGUGAAUGCAUGACAAAUGGGGAAUUUGCAACUCAUAAGCUACAACUUUGAUGUGGUGAAGGAUUACGAAGGGGUUGAAGUAUCGUUUGGCUAACUUGGCCAACAACUGGGACACGACAAACAACUAUCAGUACAGGUGGAGGCGUAGCCAGACCUAGUCACCUUCCUUAAAGGUACAAUCGCAUCUCUUCUUGUUUGCUUAGGCAACCAUACUUUGGUGAGAUCUAUGGAGAUUUUCUUUUUAAAUUUUGUAACCCAUUUUGGCGUUCUUGGAGAGAAUCUUUGGGGGUGAGCCUCGAGGUAGAUUCUAGAACAAGAUUUGAGAGACACAGAGGAAAACGUCCAUAAAGAGCCUGAAAGGGUGACAUGUCUAUGGUAGUGUGGUACAAUGUGUUGUGCCAAAACUCAACGAGGUGGAGGAAAGUAUAUCAACAUUGAGAAUAAUCAAAAACAAAACAAUGCAAUUAAGCUUCUAAAGAUUGAUUCACAAUUUCCAAUUGAUCGUUAGUUUUGGGAUGAUAUGCUAUGCUGUAACACAAGGUGGUGCCUUAUAGGUAGAAAAAUUCCUUCCGGAAUGUACUGAUGAAGAGAGGGUUGCGAUUUGAAGUGAUAGAUUUAGUCACUAUAUAAAAAUGAAAAAUCUCAACGGAGAAACGUUGCGCCAGAUCUUUUGCUAAGAAGUGGGUAGGUAACCCCAAAAAAUGCAUAUACUUAAUUAAUCGAUCUCAAAGGACCCAAUUAACGAUAUGGCCAAAUGAGCACGACAAGUGGGUAACGAAAUCCAUGGUGAUCUCCUCCCAAACCUUGUGUGGAACAGGCUGACUAGUAAAAAGAAGUGACCAAACUAGCCACCAUGGGUUUUACUCUCAAGUGGUUGACAUAUGGGGUGGAGUGAAAUUCCUGAAUCGAAGAAGCACACAAGUCAUCUAUGGUCGGAAUGUACAAACGAUUGUGAAAAUAUACAAGGCCAUGAGUAACAUGAAAAGAUCCCUGCAUAUAUCGGGAUUUGCAUCAAUUUGUUGUAUAAAAUCGAUAACAUUUGGAACUUUAGCAAAGUAGUGGCACAAAUGAGUGAUGAUAGCAAGAAUGGGUGAAGUAACCAAAAGGAAUGUUGAAAUAGCACAAAACUACUGGAUUUGCUCAAGUGUUAAGUUUUCCAAGUUUGUAAAAAAUAUCAAAACUAUAUACCCUUGAAUUUGCAAGUCCACUUUUGUUGCUUUGGGGUUUGAAUA
Long non-coding RNA from Cajanus cajan (pigeon pea), 1586 nucleotides. RefSeq lists it as uncharacterized. NCBI's taxonomy places the organism in Eukaryota, Viridiplantae, Streptophyta, Magnoliopsida, Fabales, Fabaceae. The record is from RefSeq and is a predicted model, not a curated record.